GAUGAACGCUGGCGGCGUGCCUAAUACAUGCAAGUCGAGCGAACAGACGAGGAGCUUGCUCCUCUGACGUUAGCGGCGGACGGGUGAGUAACACGUGGAUAACCUACCUAUAAGACUGGGAUAACUUCGGGAAACCGGAGCUAAUACCGGAUAACAUGUUGAACCGCAUGGUUCAACAGUGAAAGACGGUUUUGCUGUCACUUAUAGAUGGAUCCGCGUCGCAUUAGCAAGUUGGUAAGGUAACGGCUUACCAAGGCAACGAUGCGUAGCCGACCUGAGAGGGUGAUCGGCCACACUGGAACUGAGACACGGUCCAGACUCCUACGGGAGGCAGCAGUAGGGAAUCUUCCGCAAUGGGCGAAAGCCUGACGGAGCAACGCCGCGUGAGUGAAGAAGGUCUUCGGAUCGUAAAACUCUGUUAUUAGGGAAGAACAAAUGUGUAAGUAACUAUGCACGUCUUGACGGUACCUAAUCAGAAAGCCACGGCUAACUACGUG
RNAcentral lists this ribosomal RNA (497 nucleotides) under uncultured bacterium. RNAcentral's name for it is "partial 16S ribosomal RNA". It matches the Rfam family "Bacterial small subunit ribosomal RNA", at positions 28 to 507 of the family's 1533-position model. The record is from RNAcentral.